RNAcentral lists this ribosomal RNA (1593 nucleotides) under Triticum aestivum (bread wheat). Its description in RNAcentral is "partial small subunit ribosomal RNA". Lineage: Eukaryota; Viridiplantae; Streptophyta; Magnoliopsida; Poales; Poaceae. The record is from RNAcentral.
AUGCUCCACGUCAGGCUCGCUCCUGGGCCUGCACCGCGUAAUUUAUCUAGGAGAUGGGAUUCCAGCGCAUACCUACAUAGCUGGUGUUCCGUUCCUUGUCCAAGCAGGCUCAGUCUCUCGAGGGCAUAUUCAAUUAAAUCUUCUUCGAUUGGUAGCGCCACGGGACUUUGUCUUGGGCAAUGUUGCCGCAUCAAGCCUUUGUCCUGCAAAUGCAAGCUAGGUAGGUCUUCUCAGCCGCCACCUGACUCGAGGCAACAUUUUAGUGCAUCUUCAUCCGCAUCAGAGGCGGUUCUCACUGCGCAGUCCGAUAUCCGGAAACUUUUUGUUGCCAAUGAGAAAAUCGGCGUUCUGCUGCUAAACCUUGGAGGCCCAGAGACCCUUGAUGAUGUCCAGCCUUUCUUGUUUAAUCUCUUUGCUGAUCCGGAUAUCAUCCGUCUUCCUAGGGCGUUCCGCUUUCUGCAGAAGCCGCUAGCACAAUUCAUUUCUGUUGCAAGAGCGCCAAAGAGCAAGGAAGGUUAUGCAUCCAUAGGUGGUGGUUCACCUCUUCGACAAAUUACUGAUGCGCAGGGAGAAGCACUUAUGGAAGCAUUAUGUGGAAAGGAUAUCCCUGCUAAGGUGUACGUGGGAAUGCGGUACUGGCAUCCCUUCACCGAGGAAGCUAUAGAACAAAUAAAAAAGGAUGGAAUCACAAAACUUGUUGUACUACCUCUUUACCCCCAGUUCUCCAUAUCGACCAGUGGUUCAAGUCUCCGUCUUCUGGAGAGCAUAUUCAGCUGCAAUGUUAGAGAGGAUGAGUAUCUGGUCAAUAUGCAACAUACGGUUAUUCCUUCUUGGUAUCAGCGUGAAGGAUAUAUUAAGGCCAUGACAACUUUGAUCGAGAAGGAGUUGUUGAAAUUUCCAAAACCGCAGAAGGUUAUGAUAUUUUUCAGUGCUCAUGGAGUUCCUCUGGCAUACGUUGAAGAAGCUGGUGAUCCGUAUAAAGCAGAGAUGGAAGAGUGCGUGGAUCUUAUCAUGGAGGAGCUCGAAAAAAGAGGAAUGGCAAAUCCAUGUACACUUGCUUAUCAGAGCCGAGUAGGACCAGUGGAAUGGCUGAAACCCUACACUGACGAGACAAUUAUUGCUCUUGGGCAGAGGGGGGUAAAGAGUCUUCUAGCAGUUCCCAUUAGUUUUGUCAGCGAACACAUUGAGACGUUAGAAGAAAUUGACGUCGAAUACAAGGAGCUGGCUUUGCAAUCUGGUAUCAAGCACUGGGGACGAGUUCCCGCUUUAGGUUGUGAGCCCACAUUCAUUUCAGAUCUGGCGGAUGCUGUUAUCGAAAGCCUGCCUUAUGUUGGCGCAAUGGCAGUUUCCAACCUUGAGGCUCGACAGUCACUGGUGCCACUUGGAAGCGUGGAGGAGCUGCUAGCAGCCUACGACUCGAAACGCGACAUGCUGCCUCCUCCGGUGAUUGUGUGGGAGUGGGGCUGGACGAAGAGCGCCGAGACAUGGAAUGGACGUGCUGCUAUGCUGGCCGUGUUGGCUCUCCUGGUGCUGGAGGUAACAACCGGACAGGGGCUCUUGCACCAGUGGGGUAUUUUGCCACCUUUCCCUUAA